RNAcentral lists this ribosomal RNA (315 nucleotides) under uncultured eukaryote. RNAcentral describes it as "partial 18S ribosomal RNA". It matches the Rfam family "Eukaryotic small subunit ribosomal RNA", at positions 1470 to 1796 of the family's 1831-position model. The record is from RNAcentral.
CCCUUAGACGUUCUGGGCCGCACGCGCGCUACACUGACCAGUGCAACAAGCAUCCGUCCUUGGCCGACAGGCCCGGGCAAUCUUUGAACGCUGGUCGUGAUGGGGAUAGACUUUUGCAAUUUUUGGUCUUCAACGAGGAAUUCCUAGGAAACGCAAGUCAUCAACUUGCAUUGAUUACGUCCCUGCCCUUUGUACACACCGCCCGUCGCACCUACCGAUUGAAUGGUCCGGUGAAGCCUCCGGAUUGGCGCGCACCUCGGUGCCGCCGAGAAGUUGGCUAAACCUUACCAUUUAGAGGAAGGUGAAGUCGUAACA